This 159-nucleotide long non-coding RNA is filed under the name Cervus hanglu yarkandensis (Yarkand deer). RNAcentral's name for it is "lncRNA (ENSCHYG00000014443.1)". The record is from RNAcentral. Lineage: Eukaryota; Metazoa; Chordata; Mammalia; Artiodactyla; Cervidae.
UUCUAUCAGAACUCCGAGUCGGGACCGGACGGCGCGGCCGGGUCCCCGGGCCUCGUCGGAAUAUGACCCUCGGAGCUCCGAGGUGACCCCUCUCUGCGCGGCCGGCCUUGAUCGGCUUCUCAGCAUCCCGGCCCUGGCCCUGGCUCGGGAGAGGAUCAU